ACGUACACUCCUGCGGGAGGCAGCAGUGGGGAAUAUCGCACAAUGGGCGCAAGCCUGAUGCAGCCAUGCCGCGUGUAUGAAGAAGGCCUUCGGGUUGUAAAGUACUUUCAGCGGGGAGGAAGGCGAUAAGGUUAAUAACCUUGUCGAUUGACGUUACCCGCAGAAGAAGCACCGGCUAACUCCGUGCCAGCAGCCGCGGUAAUACGGAGGGUGCAAGCGUUAAUCGGAAUUACUGGGCGUAAAGCGCACGCAGGCGGUCUGUCAAGUCGGAUGUGAAAUCCCCGGGCUCAACCUGGGAACUGCAUUCGAAACUGGCAGGCUAGAGUCUUGUAGAGGGGGGUAGAAUUCCAGGUGUAGCGGUGAAAUGCGUAGAGAUCUGGAGGAAUACCGGUGGCGAAGGCGGCCCCCUGGACAAAGACUGACGCUCAGGUGCGAAAGCGUGGGGAGCAAACAGGAUUAGAAACCCCUGUAGUCCCAUGAU
RNAcentral lists this ribosomal RNA (481 nucleotides) under uncultured organism. RNAcentral describes it as "partial 16S ribosomal RNA". It matches the Rfam family "Bacterial small subunit ribosomal RNA", at positions 329 to 801 of the family's 1533-position model. The record is from RNAcentral.